CCUACGGGGGGCAGCAGUGAGGAAUAUUGGUCAAUGGGCGCAAGCCUGACCCAGCAACGCCGCGUGAAGGAAGAAGGCUUUCUGGUUGUAAACUUCUUUUAAGAGGGAAGAGCAGAAGACGGUACCUCUUGAAUUAGCCACGGCUAACUACGAGCCAGCAGCCACCGUAAUACGUAGGUGGCAGGCGAUGUCCGGAUUUACUGGGGUUAAAGGGCGUAUUGCCGGGCUGACAAAUGAGAUGUGAAAUCCCGUGGCGCAACCACGGAACUGCAUUUGAAACGGUCGGUCUUGAGGAUCGGAGAGGUAGGCGGAAUGCGUAGUGUAGCGGUGAAAUGCGUAGAUAUUAGGAAGAACACCAGUUGCGAAGGCAGCCUGCUGGACGACAACUGACGGUGAGGCGCGAAAGCGUGGGGAGCAAACAGGAUUAGAUACCCUAGUAGUC
This 442-nucleotide ribosomal RNA is filed under the name uncultured bacterium. RNAcentral's name for it is "partial 16S ribosomal RNA". It matches the Rfam family "Bacterial small subunit ribosomal RNA", at positions 338 to 795 of the family's 1533-position model. The record is from RNAcentral.